Long non-coding RNA from Selaginella moellendorffii, 495 nucleotides. RefSeq lists it as uncharacterized. The record is from RefSeq and is a predicted model, not a curated record. The transcript is spliced from 3 exons. NCBI's taxonomy places the organism in Eukaryota, Viridiplantae, Streptophyta, Lycopodiopsida, Selaginellales, Selaginellaceae.
CCAGGUGGUUACAACGCUGAGGAACUGCAGGCAUAUUGCGAACACGAGGUUCGUCGUGCCGGGGGGCUCCAAGUGGAGGAGGAUCCGAUUGUGGCGUAUUGCAGGCUUGCCACAAGGCAAGGCCACCGAGAGUUGAUCCGACAAAUUCAGCUCCUCCUCAGAUCCAUCAACCUGCUUCAUCGCGUCGGUAAGCCACACAUUCACACAUUUCAUUUACCUUAAUGCGUUUGCUCGGAAUUCAAAAGUGAGACCGGCUGGGUUCCCAGGCUUGUUCGCUCAUUACGGGACCUGGAAGCUAGGGACCACGUACCAGAUGUACGAAGCUGGCCUGGGAGAGUAUAUCCAAGAGGCGGUCAAGGACCCAGAUCGCUGGAAUUCCUUCAUCGCUGUGGUCAGCAGAGUGGAAACGAUUAGAGCGGUGUUACCAGACGCGCUAGACACUCGAUGUUUUUACGUGGAUCCAGAGACACAAACAGGAAAAUGUCCAUCAGAUUC